Molecule: long non-coding RNA, 312 nt
Filed under: Eucalyptus grandis
Lineage: Eukaryota; Viridiplantae; Streptophyta; Magnoliopsida; Myrtales; Myrtaceae
Description: long non-coding RNA (EGRA_LNC007537)
Source: RNAcentral
UCCAUCUAAACAUAUUAUCAUUGUUAUCAAAUCUUAAUAUUCAUAAAUCUGAAACAUGAAUGUCCAUGAAAAAUUGAGAAGGAGGUUAUUUUUGAAAUACCUUAAGUUUAGACCCCAAGUAAUUGAGAAUUACUGCGGCAAUUAUUUCCCUAAUUCCACCUCCGUCGAUGCUUAAAAUGGCCCCAAGUAAUCGAGAAUUACUGCGGCAAUUAUUUCCCUAAUUCCACCUCCGUCGAUGCUUAAAAUGGCAAUGAAAGCCAAUGGUCCUCCAUCACUGCGUCUUUGACUGCUCAUGGUUUCUGGAAGAUGAGA